AUGAUGCUGAAAGCCCUCAUCAGCCACACCAGAGCUUUUCCUCUUCUCCUUACACCUCUUCCUUCAUCUGAACUUUUAAACCCUGUGUCUGGUGAAGCUUUUUGCAGUAACUCAAGCCUUGGAGAAUCAUUAAUAACGUGCUGUUUUCACAGUGACACCAACAUGAGCUGCCAAAACACCAAACACCAACAGCCAGUCCUGCCCAGAAGAGCGGAGCGUGGGGACGCACCAUCUCCUCCCCAUAACUUGGUACUCUGAGGUUAGUGAGAGUGUUCUCAGAGCAAACCCCAUCCUACACGAGCCGUUGCUGGUGAGACCCAGCUGCGUACGCUGUGCUGCAGAGCAGGAUCAGCACUGCCAUCCAGACUCUGCCUGUGCCCGAUGCACAAAACCGUGCGUUUGAGGAAGUACUUCUGGAGUUUGAAAAGGUCCAGGUGAAUUAAAGAGGAGAGAAAGGGAGAAAAAAAAAAAAAAAAAGUAGGGACCGAUUAAACGGCAUAAAUAAAUAAAUAACACACACCAGAUUUCAGCUCCGAGGCGCUCAAUAAAAUUACACUUUGAAAUGCAAGGAUUAAGCAGGGUAGGUGACAAGGUAACUUUGUUAACAGGCUAAUCUCUCGCCUUAACAGAGACAGGGGAUUUACAUGUGACUGCACAGAACUGCUUUAUGGCCUCUUUUUUUUUUUCUUUUUUUUUUUUUUUUUCCAGCUGGAGAUGGUAGGAAGGGGCAGGAUGAGAUGGGACACGGCUGGGUAUUUUAAAGCCAUUUGUAAAACGGGUUUAAACUGUUGGGUUGUUUUUUAAAGGUUGUUCUUGUGUUUGUUCGAUUGUUUUUAAUGAGCAAGGCUGUAAGAAAAUGUGUAGCCAACAACCGGCUGUCUCCAAACAGUCCAGCAUUGCUGGGGUUUGAGCUGGCUGCGGGUGGAAGGACUGAGCCUGGAAGGAAACCCCGUGUGAAAUCCCCAGCCUGCUUUGCAGAUGUUGGGCUGCUUCUGGGUGAGAUUUCAGCUUUUACAGGCAGAUGUCUGAAACACUCCUGGUGGGCUCGGUGCCUCGCUGCAGUAAAUUCAGGGGGGAGCUGGAAGAAGUGGGGAGAGUCCUGA
This 1103-nucleotide long non-coding RNA is filed under the name Phasianus colchicus (ring-necked pheasant). RNAcentral's name for it is "lncRNA (ENSPCLG00000000676.1)". Lineage: Eukaryota; Metazoa; Chordata; Aves; Galliformes; Phasianidae. The record is from RNAcentral.